CUAUGGUACCAACUCUUUUGCUGUGCCAGCACAGAGGUCUCCAGAGCGACUCUCCUGAAUCAGAUAGCAGGGGCUGUUUGCAGUUUCGUUUCCACGCUUCGCUGACUGGUUAGACAGUGAUCACAGGUUCGGAAGCACGAGCCUCACCACAGCGGAGGAGGCCUCCACUCUGAAGCGGGAUUCCACGCUCCUGCACCCUAAGAUCAGCUAGACUCUCUGCCUUGUUUCAUCUUCUUUCUUUUCCUAAAGAAUCACGGGGAGAACUGACCUCUCUGGGACUCAACCGUGGCUGGAAGGGGACAGGAGAAGCCCUUUCUGGAGGACAGCUGAGCCCUGCAGCUGCCAUCCUGCCUGGCAGGCUAGGGCUGGGCUGCGGGAAGGCCCCCCAGGAGGCUUGGCUGGGCAUGCUCUGUGAAGCCCGAGGUGGCUGGGACUCAUUCUAGUGAUGGACACCAAGUCAGCGGGCUCCUCUCUCCAGUUCCUCGACAUCCCUGGAGGCCCCUCUGCUCCUGCAGCCCUAGCCUUGGAGCUGAUGGUUCCCUCAGUCUUCUCCAGGCCUUGGGGGGGGCCCUCACGCUAGGGUCCCUUCCCAACUCCUCUCUCUGUCUCAUUUCUGCCCAGGGAGGUCCGGCCACUGCACCCCGAGGAAAGGGCUGCUUUCGGCACUCUGCGUGGAGGUCCUGGCUUCUGCCGUCCCUGGAGGCUCCGUUCCCGUUUCGCCAGCUAUUUUGCUGCCUCGGCCAUCUGUUCCCUCCCUGUCAUCUCCUCUCUGCUUUAACCUUAACCACUACUUCACUGCAGAUGGUACCAGGCAGUUCUGCUCUCGACAUCCUUCACGACGCCUGGCCCUCCUUCUCAUCUCCAGCAAGUGAACCGCUCUGUCCUUUUUAAAGCCUCAUCCCAAAGACACGGCCAGAGCUUGGAGUUGGAUUCGCCCCACACAACUCCCCCUCUUUGAUGCCAUCUGCUUUCAACUCCACCACUGGCCAGGGGCAAACACCUACCCCUUCCCCUGCCUUUUCCUCCUGAGACUUCUUCUCAAACUCGGCCAAGAAGCUCUCCUGGCAUGGACAGCGUGUCUGCUCCGGGUCUCUACCUGGUCUCCAUCAACAGAGCCAUGUAACCGCCCAGAGGGCUCCAGGUCCGCAAGCUGAGGCGGAGGCCAGAAACUCUGAAGUUCACUCCUACUGUGGAGGAACGAGGGCUCGUGCUGGGAGUUUGGGUCAUGAACAGUUUCCCUGUAGAAAAUGGACCUGAACACUCUGCAGUAAGGAAUUGUUUCCCAUGCUGGCAUGGUGGGAACCGAACCAAAACACAUUUUCUAUGUUGUCUGAGCUCACAGGGAACAUCCCUCUGCUGUCCUUGCUGUUAUUCUGGCAUGCUGGUGAGAAAAUGCAUGCAUGGGCUUUACUUAGCAACUCGCUCUGCCUCUCCUCUCUGUCAGGGCGCUCCCCUAAAAUCUCUCCUCUUGACGUCUUUUUUCUGGCAUAAGGACCCGGAGCUUUGAGGAGCGCAGCAGCCCAGAAGCUCCUAAGGAGAGAAGCUGUUUUGGUGAGAUUGGUUCCACCAGGCUACAUGCCUUGACUGGGACAGAAAUGGGCUGGGAAGGCCGAAAUUUGACUUCUGCACCUGGAUUUGGGCUAAAAAGUCUCACAGCUCAGCCUCCUUGAUAAGGGUUCUUCUAUCUCCCCUCUAUACUUCCUCUGCAGCAGAAAAGAGUAUCUUGGCCGUGCAGGGAACGCUCUUCUCUCACUCUCGCCACUGGGGUUAAGGGCAGCUACAUUACUAUAGCUCCAAGUCUUGGUUGCCCCCAGAGAGAGGCAGAGAUGUAGCCUGCCCACAUCUGGACACUUGAAGACUCUCCAAACACCUAGAGGAGCUGUGGAUUCAAGUGAAGCAACCAUCUGAUGCCACCACGGUCCCUCCUUCCCUUUGCCUUCCCUUCUUCCCACAAAAGAGAAGCCCAAAUCCGCCACCAGACCAGCCCAUCUGCCCGUGGAAACCAAGGGAACCAAAUGCAUCGUACUGGGUUGCAGGCCUUAAUCUAGCUCUCGCUGAAUUAUUCAGGGAUGGCAUUAACUUAUAAAUGAGUGUGUUUGACUGAUUUUGUGGUUGAUGUACAGAUAAAGUCUAAUGAAAGACA
RNAcentral lists this long non-coding RNA (2143 nucleotides) under Homo sapiens (human). RNAcentral's name for it is "PREDICTED lncRNA (TCONS_00105972)". The record is from RNAcentral. Lineage: Eukaryota; Metazoa; Chordata; Mammalia; Primates; Hominidae.